GAUGAACGCUAGCGGCAGGCCUAAUACAUGCAAGUCGAACGAUAGAAGAGAGCUCGCUCUCUUUAAAAGUGGCGCACGGGUGCGUAACGCGUAUGCAACCUACCUUAAUCAGGGGGAUAGCCCGAAGAAAUUCGGAUUAACACCGCAUAAAAUCACAGUACAGCAUUGUACAAUGAACAAAUAUUUAUAGGAUUAAGAUGGGCAUGCGUGACAUUAGCUAGUUGGCGGGGUAACGGCCCACAAAGGCGACGAUGUCUAGGGGAUCUGAGAGGAUGACCCCCCACACUGGUACUGAGACACGGACCAGACUCCUACGGGAGGCAGCAGUAAGGAAUAUUGGUCAAUGGAGGGAACUCUGAACCAGCCAUGCCGCGCGCAGGAAGACAGCCCUCUGGGUCGUAAACUGCUUUUAUUCGGGAAUAAACCUACUUACGUGUAAGUAGCUGAAUGUACCGAAGGAAUAAGGAUCGGCUAACUCCGUGCCAGCCGCCGCCGUAA
RNAcentral lists this ribosomal RNA (498 nucleotides) under uncultured bacterium. RNAcentral describes it as "partial 16S ribosomal RNA". It matches the Rfam family "Bacterial small subunit ribosomal RNA", at positions 28 to 523 of the family's 1533-position model. The record is from RNAcentral.